CUUUCCAUGUCCAUGCUACCUUGUCUCUUCAUGUCCUUGUUCCCUGCCUCGCUUAUGGUCGUCUUUGCUAGUCCAUGUCUCCUGCCUGUUCCCGCCUGCUCUCUGAGCAGGAUGUAGAGGGCGGAGUCCUGGUUGAGUGACAGCUGCAGCCACACAGGGUGUGUGAGCAGCAGACGGUCCAGGACACUGAACGCCCUCUGAGAGCUGCGAUGGGAACCGCCCGUCUCCUGCAUCUGAAACACAUCCACAAGAUUGGCUUGCUGCUGGAUGUCACACUGUGUGGGCUGCCGACGAACGCUUGUGAGCGUAGCAGCAGAUGGUUGCCAUAGAAACCCGGGCCUACACAUCCUACCAGGCAUUCCCACUCAGUGAAACACCCUUUCUCUGACAGGUUGGAUACAGUAUCUAAAAAAGGUGACCAGGGUGUAGAGGUGUUUUUAUUAAUAGGAUUUUCUUAUUUAUUAAAAAUAAAU
This is a long non-coding RNA of Trematomus bernacchii (emerald rockcod), 473 nucleotides long. RefSeq lists it as uncharacterized. The transcript has 3 exons. Lineage: Eukaryota; Metazoa; Chordata; Actinopteri; Perciformes; Nototheniidae. The record is from RefSeq and is a predicted model, not a curated record.